ACCUUUCUCUGAGUCAAGGAAACUCCGGGACUUCAGCACUGCGCUGGUGCUCAGAGGCCCAGUCUCUCAGGAACACAGGAAAGCAGGCCAAACACGAACACACAGCAAGCGCCCGGCGCCUCUGGGACCCAUCUGCUCACCUGGUGCUCUCGGCCUCUUGGAUCCGGAGUCACUGGGUCUCCUCACUCACUUGUCGUCUGCCCCCUCCCCCCGCCCCAUGAGUGAGCCCCCUUGCUGGCAGCUCCACCCGUGUCCCCAGCAACCCAGCUGACAAAGGCCGGGGGUGAGUGUCUGCUCCGUGGGAACACACCGCUCCGUGUGCAAGCACUUAAGAUGGAGCCUGGGCCUGUUGAGAGAGGCAAGUGCCCCACCGCUGCCCUGAUCUCCCCUCAACAAGCCCUCCCUGAGCCACGCUGAAAUUGCCACCCCAGCGAACGAGGAGGCCAGCAGAAGUGACAGCAGCAGCAAGACCCUCCCAGUGCUCCAGGGGUGCAGAGCAAGUGGCCAAGGCAGCAGGGUGGGAGUGCCCGCCGUGGGGUCUCUGCUCCCUGGAAGGGCACUGUGACACCACGAUGGCCUCCACCUGUGCCCGGCAGACCUGGAGGACAGUCAUCUGUCCGGCCUCGCAUCCCAGCCAACCGCAGAGCAGAGCUGCCUAACUCAACGCUUCCGUACUGCCACUCCCCAGUGACAGAGUGACGGCCAUGCACACAGCACCCCACCCCUUCACGUGCCAGAGGUCCUCAUCCUUGCGAGGAGACGCGGACUCUCUGCCCGUGCUGCACCGCCGCCUUCUGCAGUGUCACAGCCAGCCCUGGAAUCUGGUGCCGGAAAUUCUCCGACUGCCCUUCCUGCCUCUCCCUCUCUUCCUCCUCUCUCCUCUCCUUUUCUCUUUUCUUUUCUUUGCAUCCUUCUUUCUUUUCAGUAAUAAGGAUUGAGCCCAGGGUCUUUGCACUGACCUACAUUCCCAUCCUUUUUUUUUUCCUGUACUGGAAAUGGAACUCAGG
Long non-coding RNA from Heterocephalus glaber (naked mole-rat), 1007 nucleotides. RefSeq lists it as uncharacterized. NCBI's taxonomy places the organism in Eukaryota, Metazoa, Chordata, Mammalia, Rodentia, Bathyergidae. The record is from RefSeq and is a predicted model, not a curated record.